CAUGGGUGGGGCACAGUCUCAGGUUGGGAGGUAUAUUGAUUUCCUAUUGCUGCUAUAACAAAUAACCACAAAUGUUUUGGCUUAGAACAAUAUGAAUGUAUUCUGUCAUUGUCCUAGAGGUCACAAGUCUAAAAUUGGUUGUGAUAUGGUUUGGAUUUAUGUCCCGGUCCAAAUCUCAUGCUGAAUGAUAACCCCCAGUGUUGGAGGAGGGGCCUAGUGGGAGGUGAACAGAUUAUGAGUGGAUUUCCCUCUUGCUAUUCUUAUGAUAGUGAGUGAGUUCUCAUGAGAUCUGGUUGUUUAAAAGUGUGUGGCAUCUCCCCCUUCGCUCUUUCUCUCUCCUGCUCCACCACGUAAGACGUACCUGCUUCCCCUUCACCUUUUGCCAUGAUCGUAAGUUUCCUGAGGCCUCCCCAGCCAUGCUUCAUGUACAGCCUGUGGAACCAUGAGCCAAUUAAACCCCCUUUCUUUAUAAAUUACCCAGUCUCAGGUAGUUCUUUGUAGCAAUGUGAGAAUGGACUAACACAGGUUGGAGGCCUGCAUUCCUUCUGAAGGCUUCAGGGAAGAAUCGUAUCUUGGGCUUUUCCAGCUCCUGGAAGCCACCUGCAUUCCUUGGCUCAUGGCUCUCCAUCUCUCCGAUUUCUGCUUCUGUCAUCACACCUCCCCCUCUGACUCUGACUCCCCUUCCUCCCUCUUUUUCCCUUAUGAGGACUCUUGUGAUCAUAUGGGGCCCACAUGGAUAACCCAGGAUCAUCUCCCCAUCUCAAAAUUCUUCCUCAUUUGAGUCUCUUUUGCCAUGUAAGGUAGCAUAUUCACAGGUUCCAGGGAUUAGGAGGUGACAUCUUUGGGGGCCAUCAUUCUUCCUACCACAGGAGGUGAGGGAAGGCUUCUCCCAGGAGCUGCCACUUGAGAGGAGACCCACACGACAAAAACAGAUGAGGAGGACAGGCUGCAAAGAUCCUGGACCUGGCACAAGCCUGCAGAUUCUGAGGAAAAUGCCAGCAUGACUGAAGUGAGCAGCAAGGGGAGGCUGGAGGGGGAGGCAGGGCCCAGGUCCCUCCGCAUUGCAGGAGCCAGAGAAGGAGCGCAGAUUUCAUUCUGAGUGCAGUGGAACGUGGGCAGAGGGCUGGAAAGUUGUGUUCUCACUGGGCUAACUUGUACAUGGAUGAAGACAGUUUCUCUGGCAGUUGUUUAGAGCAAUGCUGUCUGGUAGAAAUACAGUGUAAUCACAUUUGUCAGUUUAGAUGUUCUAGUAGCCACAUGUUAAGAAGUAAAAGGAAACAGCUGAAAUUAACCUUAAUAAAACAUUUUAUCUUUACCC
RNAcentral lists this small RNA (1318 nucleotides) under Pan troglodytes (chimpanzee). RNAcentral's name for it is "sense intronic". Lineage: Eukaryota; Metazoa; Chordata; Mammalia; Primates; Hominidae. The record is from RNAcentral.